GACGAACGCUGGCGGCGUGCUUAACACAUGCAAGUCGAACGGAAAGGCCCUUCGGGGUACUCGAGUGGCGAACGGGUGAGUAACACGUGGGUGAUCUGCCCUGCACUUUGGGAUAAGCCGGGGAAACUGGGUCUAAUACCGAAUAGGACCACGCGCUUCAUGGCGUGUGGUGGAAAGCUUUUGCGGUGUGGGUUGGGCCCGCGGCCUAUCAGCUCGUUGGUGGGGUACUGGCCUACCAAGGCGACGACGGGUAGCCGGCCUGUGAGGGUGACCGGCCACACGGGGACUGAGGUACGGCGCAGACUCCUACGGGACGCAGCGGUGGAGAAUAUUGCACAAUGGGGGCAAGCCAGAGGCAGCGACGCCGCGUGAGUGAUGACGGCCUUCGGGUUGUAAACCUCUGUCAAUAGGGACGAAGCGCAAGUGACGGUACCUAUAGAAGAAGCACCGGCCAACUACGUG
RNAcentral lists this ribosomal RNA (462 nucleotides) under uncultured bacterium. RNAcentral describes it as "partial 16S ribosomal RNA". It matches the Rfam family "Bacterial small subunit ribosomal RNA", at positions 28 to 507 of the family's 1533-position model. The record is from RNAcentral.